Molecule: ribosomal RNA, 578 nt
Filed under: Phloeocharis subtilissima
Lineage: Eukaryota; Metazoa; Arthropoda; Insecta; Coleoptera; Staphylinidae
Description: eukaryotic LSU rRNA
Rfam family: Eukaryotic large subunit ribosomal RNA
Source: RNAcentral
UGAAAGUACAGGCCGGCCUUUCGCCGGCUGAGGGACGACGGGUCGCGUCCGCGCGGCCCCGCACUCCCGGGGCGUCUCGAUCUCAUUGCGAGAUGAGGCGCACCUACAGCGCACACGCUGGUACCCGAAAGAUGGUGAACUAUGCCUGGUCAGGACGAAGUCAGGGGAAACCCUGAUGGAGGUCCGUAGCGAUUCUGACGUGCAAAUCGAUCGUCGGAACUGGGUAUAGGGGCGAAAGACUAAUCGAACCAUCUAGUAGCUGGUUCCCUCCGAAGUUUCCCUCAGGAUAGCUGGCGCUCGCGCGAGCGAGUCUCAUCUGGUAAAGCGAAUGAUUAGAGGCAUUGGGGUCGAAACGGCCUCAACCUAUUCUCAAACUUUAAAUGGGUGAGAUCUCCGGCUUGCUUGAACAGUGAAGCCGCGAGAUUUCGGAUCAGAGUGCCAAGUGGGCCAAUUUUGGUAAGCAGAACUGGCGCUGUGGGAUGAACCAAACGCAGAGUUAAAGCGCCCAAAUCGACGCUAAUGAGAUACCAUGAAAGGCGUUGGUAACUUAAGACAGCAGGACGGUGGCCAUGGAAGUC